UGAAACCCACUUAGUGUUUCGUACUUCAAAUCAUUUUUUUGAGUGCAUUUUUCGCCAAGCUGACAGUCAAAUUGUACUCGCAUAUUCAUUCAUCAUGUGUUCAGCUUAUAUUCUGCCUAGGAUUCUAUUACUCUUACAUUCUGCUAAGUUCCAGUGAAAUUUAGGUCUUACCAUAAAAGGGCGUUGGAGGAGCUUCUAUCAACAUGCUCUGGGCAACUCAUUAUUUAUAUUCAUUAUAAAGCAGUUAUGCUCUCAGUUGCACUGUGUAUACUGAAUUGUGUUAUGGUACUAGAGAGUCAGAGGCCAUUAAAGCUCCAGAAUUUGCCACAAACAGUCCAUGGAUCGCUAGCUUUUCAGUGCUAUUCUGGCAACUUUACAUGAGGUACAACUAUGGGAGGAAAGGCAAGUACAUUGCAAGGGAAUGCAAGAACAAGAUGGGUAAGAAGGAGGAUAAUGUUGAUAUGGUGCCCUUCUCUUAGGAAUUACCUGCAGAUGUGGAUAAGGUGGAGCUGCAAGUGAUGGUUACAGACCUAGAAGUGAAAAUAGAAGACAAUAGGCAGCGAUACAACCAAAUGGGUGACUCCUUUUGUUCAUUGUACGCCAUGAGCGAUGGAAUUAUGAGAAAGGAGGCUAUGGUGUUCAUUUUUGGGCAAAGAAGGAUGAAAAAGAAGGCCAGGAGGCUACUGAAUGAGGGGAAACUGGACAAGGAGAACGAGAAGAAGGAGACCACUCCUGCAAAGAACUGGAUUGACCAUGUGCAGAGGCUGGAGCACAAUUGAAAUCUUAUUAAGAAUAAUUAAGCAAUUUACUCUCUGUUUUUGGUUUUUGAUUAUGUCUACUAUAGUUAGUAGUAGGUUUUUUAUGCAUUAUUUAAGGAAUAAGCUUGCGUUUAAGUUUUUAAACUCUU
This is a long non-coding RNA of Cryptomeria japonica (Japanese cedar), 907 nucleotides long. RefSeq lists it as uncharacterized. The transcript is spliced from 4 exons. The record is from RefSeq and is a predicted model, not a curated record. NCBI's taxonomy places the organism in Eukaryota, Viridiplantae, Streptophyta, Pinopsida, Cupressales, Cupressaceae.